This 961-nucleotide ribosomal RNA is filed under the name Cumagloia andersonii. Its description in RNAcentral is "LSU rRNA". It matches the Rfam family "Eukaryotic large subunit ribosomal RNA", at positions 986 to 1968 of the family's 3401-position model. Lineage: Eukaryota; Rhodophyta; Florideophyceae; Nemaliales; Liagoraceae. The record is from RNAcentral.
CCGACAUUUUGUUGUUUUGUGCGGUAAAGCGAAUGAUUAGUGCAUUUGGGGUCUGAUAGACUUCAGGCGAUUCUCAAACUUUAAAUGCGCAAGGGGGUGGCUGCUUAAUUGAGCCUACUCUUUGAAAAACGUCGGCCCUGUGGGCCACUUUUGGUAAGCAGAACUGGCGAUAAGGGAUGAACCUUAAGCGAGGUUAAGGCGCCGCAUUGCCCGCUUAUAGACCCCACAAAAGGUGUUGAUUCAUAUAGACAGCAGGACGGUGGCCAUGGAAGUCGGAAUCCGCUAAGGAGUGUGUAACAACUCACCUGCCGAAUGAAUUAGCCCUGAAAAUGGAUGGCGCUGAAGCGGGCAGCCGACACCUCGCCGUUCCGGCGAGACGAUGCCGGGAUGAGUAGGAGGGCGUGGCGGUCAGUGACGCAGGCGAGGGUGCAGACCCCGCUGAAACGGCCGCUAGUGCAGAUCUUGGUGGUAGUAGCAAAUAUUCAAGCGAGAUCCUUGAAGGGCGAAGCNGGGAAGGGUUCCACGCAAACAUUGAUUGGGCGUGGGUGAGUCGUUCCUAAGCCGAGUGGCAAUUGCUAAGUAGCGGCGAAAGGGAAGCGGGUUAAAAUUCCCGCACACGGAUAUGGAGGCGGCGACGCAAGCAGAGGCAAAUACGCUGGCGAGGGCGCUGGACAGAGUUGUCUUUUCUGUUUGACCGGCAUCGUGCUGUGUGGAAUCCGCUUAUCGGGAGAAACACGCACGGGGAGGGGCAGAGCGUCAGGUCUUUUCUGGCGUCCGGCUCGCCCUCGACGGCCCUUGAAAAUUUGCCCGCGAAUUUUAAAUUUCAUGCUGUGACGUACCGAUAACCGCAUCAGGUCCCCAAGGUGAACAGCCUCUGCUCAAUAUGAACAAUGCAGGUAAGGGAAGUCGGCAAAAUAGACCCGUAACUUUGGGAAAAGGGUUGGCUCUAGUGGAGCGGGGG